CUUUUUAUGACCAAUCUUUUCCACUUAACUCUAUGUUUCUACAUAAUUGAUUCUGCUUAAUCUUUGAGCCACUGUGUUUGAGGGGUUUAAGUUGUUUAUCUUGAAAGAGAGCAAAGCAAUUAGCUAUAAAAGGCCCCGGAAUGACAAAUGUAAAACAAUUCAGACGAGAAAACUAACAGCCUAAUCUAUUUACAAAAUAAUGAACGGAAAACAAAUAUGUGACACAUCAACAAACG
RNAcentral lists this long non-coding RNA (236 nucleotides) under Mytilus galloprovincialis (Mediterranean mussel). The record is from RNAcentral. Lineage: Eukaryota; Metazoa; Mollusca; Bivalvia; Mytilida; Mytilidae.